RNAcentral lists this ribosomal RNA (638 nucleotides) under uncultured fungus. RNAcentral's name for it is "eukaryotic LSU rRNA". The stretch from base 254 to 407 matches the Rfam family "5.8S ribosomal RNA". The record is from RNAcentral. Lineage: Eukaryota; Fungi.
CUUGGUCAUUUAGAGGAAGUAAAAGUCGUAACAAGGUCUCCGUUGGUGAACCAGCGGAGGGAUCAUUACCGAGUUUACAACUCCCAAACCCAUGUGAACAUUACCUCUAUGUUGCUUCGGCGGAGCCGCCCCGGCGCCCGGAACCCCCUGCGGUCCCGCGGCCCGGAACCAAGGCGCCCGCCGGAGGCCACAAACUCUUCUGUUUUUACAGUUUCUUCUGAGUGUGCCGCAAGGCAGUAUACAAAUGAAUCAAAACUUUCAACAACGGAUCUCUUGGUUCUGGCAUCGAUGAAGAACGCAGCGAAAUGCGAUAAGUAAUGUGAAUUGCAGAAUUCAGUGAAUCAUCGAAUCUUUGAACGCACAUUGCGCCCGCCAGAAUUCUGGCGGGCAUGCCUGUUCGAGCGUCAUUUCAACCCUCGAGCUCCCCUUUCGGGGGGAGCCCGGCGUUGGGGACCCGGCGCUAACAACGCCGGCCCCGAAAUGGAGUGGCGGCCCGUCCGCGGCGACCUCUGCGUAGUAACAACCACUCGCACCGGGACCCGGGCGUGGCCACGCCGUAAAACACCCCACCUUCCGAAUGUUGACCUCGAAUCAGGUAGGAAUACCCGCUGAACUUAAGCAUAUCAAUAAGCGGAGGA